RNAcentral lists this ribosomal RNA (918 nucleotides) under uncultured archaeon. RNAcentral's name for it is "bacterial SSU rRNA". It matches the Rfam family "Archaeal small subunit ribosomal RNA", at positions 1 to 922 of the family's 1478-position model. The record is from RNAcentral.
UUCCGGUUGAUCCUGCCAGAGGUUACUGCUAUCGGUGUUCGCCUAAGCCAUGCGAGUCAUAUGUAGCAAUACAUGGCGUACUGCUCAGUAACACGUGGAUAACCUGCCCUUGGGACCGGCAUAACCCCGGGAAACUGGGGAUAAUUCCGGAUAACGCAUAUUUGCUGGAAUGCUUUAUGCGUCAAAAGGAUUCGUCUGCCCAAGGAUGGGUCUGCGGCCUAUCAGGUAGUAGUGGGUGUAAUGUACCUACUAGCCAGCGACGGGUACGGGUUGUGAGAGCAAGAGCCCGGAGAUGGAUUCUGAGACAUGAAUCCAGGCCCUACGGGGCGCAGCAGGCGCGAAAACUUUACAAUGCGGGAAACCGUGAUAAGGGGACACCGAGUGCCAGCAUCAUAUGCUGGCUGUCCGGAUGUGUAAAAUACAUCCGUUAGCAAGGGCCGGGCAAGACCGGUGCCAGCCGCCGCGGUAACACCGGCGGCCCGAGUGGUGAUCGUGAUUAUUGGGUCUAAAGGGUCCGUAGCCGGUUUGGUCAGUCCUCCGGGAAAUCUGAUAGCUCAACUAUUAGGCUUUCGGGGGAUACUGCCAGACUUGGAACCGGGAGAGGUAAGAGGUACUACAGGGGUAGGAGUGAAAUCUUGUAAUCCCUGUGGGACCACCUGUGGCGAAGGCGUCUUACCAGAACGGGUUCGACGGUGAGGGACGAAAGCUGGGGGCACGAACCGGAUUAGAUACCCGGGUAGUCCCAGCCGUAAACGAUGCUCGCUAGGUGUCAGGUGCGGUGCGACCGCAUCUGGUGCCGCAGUGAAAACUUGAAGCGAGUCACCUGGGAAGUACGGUCGCAAGGCUGAAACUUAAAGGAAUUGGCGGGGGAGCACUACAACGGGUGGAGCCUGCGGUUCAAUUGGAUUCAACGCCGGG